RNAcentral lists this ribosomal RNA (377 nucleotides) under uncultured bacterium. RNAcentral's name for it is "bacterial SSU rRNA". It matches the Rfam family "Bacterial small subunit ribosomal RNA", at positions 521 to 896 of the family's 1533-position model. The record is from RNAcentral.
UAAUACAGAGGGUGCGAGCGUUAAUCGGAAUUACUGGGCGUAAAGGGCGCGUAGGUGGUUAAUUAAGUCAGAUGUGAAAUCCCCAGGCUUAACCUGGGAAUUGCAUAUGAAACUGAUUGGCUAGAGUACGGGAGAGGGAAGUGGAAUUUCCGGUGUAGCGGUGAAAUGCGUAGAUAUCGGAAGGAACACCAGUGGCGAAGGCGACUUCCUGGCCCGUUACUGACACUGAGGCGCGAAAGCGUGGGGAGCGAACAGGAUUAGAUACCCUGGUAGUCCACGCUGUAAACGAUGAGAACUAGAUGUUAGGGGGCUUAGACCUUUUAGUAUCGCAGCAAACGCGUUAAGUUCUCCGCCUGGGGAGUACGGCCGCAAGGUUA